RNAcentral lists this long non-coding RNA (329 nucleotides) under Gossypium raimondii (Peruvian cotton). RNAcentral's name for it is "long non-coding RNA (GRAI_LNC003231)". The record is from RNAcentral. Lineage: Eukaryota; Viridiplantae; Streptophyta; Magnoliopsida; Malvales; Malvaceae.
CUUUACAGAUUUGAAAUCGGCCUUUUAUAGCCGGAAUGGAGAAGAAAAGAAAAGAAGAAAAAAUCCAAAGAAAUCUAUUCUGUUAUUUGUUGGCCUAUUGCUGCCCGAUUUUUGAUAUUCUGUUCUGCUUUCUCUUUUUUGUCGUAUUGUUUGUUGUCGCAGGUAUAACGUGGCAUGAAGCGGCGCAUGUUGGGGAGGGUCGUGGUGCGAGAUUCGCGGCGGCGAGCGAGGACGAGCAGUGCCAGCUUGCUGCGGCGCUAAGCAGAAGCUAGGGUUUCUGCUAGUCUAUUUUUUUGUGGGCUAGGUUUAGGAUUAUUGGGUUGAAAAGG